CUCUCACAACGAAACACAGCAUCCCCACGACAACAAUACUACAGAGAAUCAAAGUUACUCCUUCUUUACGUGAAUAUUUGGGCAAUGUUAUGCACAUCUACCCACACAGUGAUGUAGAAAUGUGGGGCCGUGUUUAAAUGAGGCAUUUUAGGAUAGCAUGGACAAGUCUUAAAUUUAUAAAGAAUAUCUCUUUGGGUUUUUGGCUUUAGUCUUUGCAACUUUAGGGAUCUUAUGUAUUCACAAACAGCUUCUAACACUCCCAAGAGAAAUGAAAACUUAAAAUCGUAUAAUAUGACUCCUUUAACACACUCCUGUAUCUUCACAUCAUUCAUCAGUUUGUUAAUUAUGAUAAUCUUCCUCUUUCAGUUCAUCAUGGUGCUGCUGGGAAUCUAGUGUUUGUGAUCACAGUGGCAUCUGGAGGAGUAUUCAUCAUCAUCAUUAUAAUAUGUAUAAUUCAGAGGAAAAGCAUGAACAGAAAAUUUGCUGUACACGAGUAUGAGAACAAUGAUCCCAGUAUAAGCACAUAUAUGACUCUAGAUCUCAAGUCCAGUUCUUCUGAUGUGUACAACACACUCACAUCUGUCCAUCCCAGAGCUGCUGUUCAUCAGUCGGGCUCUUCUGAAUAUCAGAAUCAGACAGUACGCAGCAGCAAUCCAAACAUCCUGUAUUAACUGUAUUAGUUACACAUAACACUGACAGG
Molecule: long non-coding RNA, 700 nt
Organism: Carassius carassius (crucian carp)
Lineage: Eukaryota; Metazoa; Chordata; Actinopteri; Cypriniformes; Cyprinidae
Exons: 5
Source: RefSeq, a predicted model, not a curated record